RNAcentral lists this ribosomal RNA (322 nucleotides) under uncultured bacterium. Its description in RNAcentral is "bacterial SSU rRNA". It matches the Rfam family "Bacterial small subunit ribosomal RNA", at positions 338 to 651 of the family's 1533-position model. The record is from RNAcentral.
CCUACGGGACGCACCAGUAGGGAAUCUUCGGCAAUGGACGAAAGUCUGACGGAGCGACGCCGCGUGAGCGAAGAAGGUCUUCGGAUCGUAAAGCUCUGUUGUUAGGGACGAAGAAGUACCGUUCGAAUAGGGCGGUACGGUGACGGUACCUAACGAGAAAGCCCCGGCUAACUACGUGCCAGCAGCCGCGGUAAUACGUAGGGGGCGAGCGUUGUCCGGAAUUAUUGGGCGUAAAGCGCGCGCAGGCGGUCCCUUAAGUCUGAUGUGAAAGCCCACGGCUCAACCGUGGAGGGUCAUUGGAAACUGGGGGACUUGAGUGCAG